RNAcentral lists this ribosomal RNA (374 nucleotides) under uncultured organism. RNAcentral's name for it is "partial 16S ribosomal RNA". It matches the Rfam family "Bacterial small subunit ribosomal RNA", at positions 527 to 896 of the family's 1533-position model. The record is from RNAcentral.
GUAGGGAGCAAGCGUUGUUCGGGAAUUAUUGGGGCGUAAAGAGCGCGUAGGCGGCUAGGCAAGUCUGAUGUGAAAUCCCACAGCUCAACUGUGGAACUGCAUUGGAAACUGCUUAGCUGGAGUGCGGGAGAGGAGAGUGGAAUUCCCAGUGUAGAGGUGAAAUUCGUAGAUAUUGGGAGGAACACCGGUGGCGAAGGCGGCUCUCUGGACCGCAACUGACGCUGAGGCGCGAAAGCUAGGGGAGCGAACGGGAUUAGAUACCCCGGUAGUCCUAGCCGUAAACGAUGGGCACUAGGUGUGGGAGGUAUCGACCCCUUCUGUGCCGCAGCUAACGCAUUAAGUGCCCCGCCUGGGGAGUACGGUCGCAAAGACUA